Molecule: ribosomal RNA, 253 nt
Filed under: uncultured bacterium
Lineage: Bacteria
Description: partial 16S ribosomal RNA
Rfam family: Bacterial small subunit ribosomal RNA
Source: RNAcentral
UACGUAGGGUGCGAGCGUUAAUCGGAAUUACUGGGCGUAAAGCGUGCGCAGGCGGUUAUGCAAGACAGAUGUGAAAUCCCCGGGCUCAACCUGGGAACUGCAUUUGUGACUGUAGAGCUGGAGUGCGGCAGAGGGGGAUGGAAUUCCGCGUGUAGCAGUGAAAUGCGUAGAUAUGCGGAGGAACACCGAUGGCGAAGGCAAUCCCCUGGGCCUGCACUGACGCUCAUGCACGAAAGCGUGGGGAGCAAACAGG